GACGAACGCUGGCGGCGUGCUUAACACAUGCAAGUCGAACGGAAAGGCCCUGCUUUUGUGGGGUGCUCGAGUGGCGAACGGGUGAGUAACACGUGAGUAACCUGCCCUUGACUUUGGGAUAACUUCAGGAAACUGGGGCUAAUACCGGCUAGGAGCUCCUGCUGCAUGGUGGGGGUUGGAAAGUUUCGGCGGUUGGGGAUGGACUCGCGGCUUAUCAGCUUGUUGGUGGGGUAGUGGCUUACCAAGGCUUUGACGGGUAGCCGGCCUGAGAGGGUGACCGGCCACAUUGGGACUGAGAUACGGCCCAGACUCCUACGGGAGGCAGCAGUGGGGAAUAUUGCACAAUGGGCGGAAGCCUGAUGCAGCAACGCCGCGUGCGGGAUGACGGCCUUCGGGUUGUAAACCGCUUUCGCCUGUAACGAAGCGUGAGUGACGGUAAUGGGUAAAGAAGCACCGGCUAGCUACGUG
Molecule: ribosomal RNA, 468 nt
Filed under: uncultured bacterium
Lineage: Bacteria
Description: partial 16S ribosomal RNA
Rfam family: Bacterial small subunit ribosomal RNA
Source: RNAcentral